Molecule: ribosomal RNA, 761 nt
Filed under: uncultured bacterium
Lineage: Bacteria
Description: bacterial SSU rRNA
Rfam family: Bacterial small subunit ribosomal RNA
Source: RNAcentral
AACAGGAUUAGAUACCCUGGUAGUCCACGCUGUAAACGAUGUCGAUUUGGAGGUUGUGCCCUUGAGGCGUGGCUUCCGGAGCUAACGCGUUAAAUCGACCGCCUGGGGAGUACGGCCGCAAGGUUAAAACUCAAAUGAAUUGACGGGGGCCCGCACAAGCGGUGGAGCAUGUGGCUUAAUUCGAUGCAACGCGAAGAACCUUACCUACUCUUGACAUCCAGAGAACUUUCCAGAGAUGGAUUGGUGCCUUCGGGAACUCUGAGACAGGUGCUGCAUGGCUGUCGUCAGCUCGUGUUGUGAAAUGUUGGGUUAAGUCCCGCAACGAGCGCAACCCUUAUCCUUUGUUGCCAGCGGUUCGGCCGGGAACUCAAAGGAGACUGCCAGUGAUAAACUGGAGGAAGGUGGGGAUGACGUCAAGUCAUCAUGGCCCUUACGAGUAGGGCUACACACGUGCUACAAUGGCAUAUACAAAGAGAAGCGACCUCGCGAGAGCAAGCGGACCUCAUAAAGUAUGUCGUAGUCCGGAUUGGAGUCUGCAACUCGACUCCAUGAAGUCGGAAUCGCUAGUAAUCGUAGAUCAGAAUGCUACGGUGAAUACGUUCCCGGGCCUUGUACACACCGCCCGUCACACCAUGGGAGUGGGUUGCAAAAGAAGUAGGUAGCUUAACCUUCGGGAGGGCGCUUACCACUUUGUGAUUCAUGACUGGGGUGAAGUCGUAACAAGGUAACCGUAGGGGAACCUGCGGCUGGAUCACCUCCUU